AGUGAACGCUGGCGGUAGGCCUAACACAUGCAAGUCGAACGGCAGCACAGUAAGAGCUUGCUCUUACGGGUGGCGAGUGGCGGACAGGUGAGGAAUACAUCGGAAUCUACUUUUUCGUGGGGGAUAACGUAGGGAAACUUACGCUAAUACCGCAUACGACCUACGGGUGAAAGCAGGGGAUCUUCGGACCUUGCGCGAUUGAAUGAGCCGAUGUCGGAUUAGCUAGUUGGCGGGGUAAAGGCCCACCAAGGCGACGAUCCGUAGCUGGUCUGAGAGGAUGAUCAGCCACGCUGGAACUGAGACACGGUCCAGACUCCUACGGGAGGCAGCAGUGGGGAAUAUUGGACAAUGGGCGCAAGCCUGAUCCAGCCAUACCGCGUGGGUGAAGAAGGCCUUCGGGUUGUAAAGCCCUUUUGUUGGGAAAGAAAAGCAGCAGGUUAAUACCCCGCUGUUCUGACGGUACCCAAAGAAUAAGCACCGGCUAACUUCGUG
This 492-nucleotide ribosomal RNA is filed under the name uncultured bacterium. RNAcentral's name for it is "partial 16S ribosomal RNA". It matches the Rfam family "Bacterial small subunit ribosomal RNA", at positions 29 to 507 of the family's 1533-position model. The record is from RNAcentral.